This 660-nucleotide ribosomal RNA is filed under the name uncultured bacterium. RNAcentral describes it as "bacterial SSU rRNA". It matches the Rfam family "Bacterial small subunit ribosomal RNA", at positions 56 to 699 of the family's 1533-position model. The record is from RNAcentral.
UGCAAGUCGAGGGAGGGCCCUUCGGGGACCCGACCGGCGGACGGGUGAGUAACACGUGAGCGACGUGACCCUGUGCGGGGGACAACCCGGGGAAACCCGGGCUAAUACCGCAUGGACGGCGGGGCUACAUGGCUCUGCUGGGAAACCUGGCCUCUUCAUGAAAGCCGGGGUGCAGGGAGCGGCUCGCGGGCUAUCAGCUAGUUGGUGAGGUGACGGCUCACCAAGGCGACGACGGCUAGGGGGUCUGAGAGGAUGGCCCCCCACAUUGGGACUGAGACACGGCCCAGACUCCUACGGGAGGCAGCAGUGGGGAAUAUUGGGCAAUGGCCGCAAGGCUGACCCAGCGACGCCGCGUGUGGGAGGACGCCCUUCGGGGUGUAAACCACUGUCAGGGGGGACGAACGACGCUACGGUGAACAGUCGUAGCGGGUGACGGUACCUCCAGAGGAAGCGCCGGCUAACUCUGUGCCAGCAGCCGCGGUAAGACAGAGGGCGCGAGCGUUGUUCGGAAUCAUUGGGCGUAAAGCGCGCGCAGGCGGGUUCGCAAGUCGGGAGUGAAAUGCCGGGGCUCAACCCCGGCGCUGCUCCCGAAACUGCGAGUCUAGGGACCGGUAGGGGCCGGUGGAAUUCCCGGUGUAGCGGUGGAAUGCGUAGAGAUCG